GACGAACGCUGGCGGCGUGCCUAAUACAUGCAAGUUGAGCGCUGAAGGUUGGUACUUGUACCGACUGGAUGAGCAGCGAACGGGUGAGUAACGCGUGGGGAAUCUGCCUUUGAGCGGGGGACAACAUUUGGAAACGAAUGCUAAUACCGCAUAAAAACUUUAAACACAAGUUUUAAGUUUGAAAGAUGCAAUUGCAUCACUCAAAGAUGAUCCCGCGUUGUAUUAGCUAGUUGGUGAGGUAAAGGCUCACCAAGGCGAUGAUACAUAGCCGACCUGAGAGGGUGAUCGGCCACAUUGGGACUGAGACACGGCCCAAACUCCUACGGGAGGCAGCAGGAGGGAAUCUUCGGCAAUGGACGAAAGUCUGACCGAGCAACGCCGCGUGAGUGAAGAAGGUUUUCGGAUCGUAAAACUCUGUUGGUAGAGAAGAACGUUGGUGAGAGUGGAAAGCUCAUCAAGUGACGUUAACUACCCAGAAAGGGACGGCUAACUACGUG
This 497-nucleotide ribosomal RNA is filed under the name uncultured bacterium. Its description in RNAcentral is "partial 16S ribosomal RNA". It matches the Rfam family "Bacterial small subunit ribosomal RNA", at positions 28 to 507 of the family's 1533-position model. The record is from RNAcentral.